AUUAACACUUUCAUUGCUACCUGUAGGUACGUUUGUUUAUCAAAACUAAAACGCAAAUAUAGGAUCUUGUUCGGAAGAAACUUGCAGAGCAAGAAAGAAAAGAACUUACAACCCAAGUGCGAGUUCUGGAUAAUCUCUUAGACAAUGCAUGAAUGCAGUAAGCAAUAUCUGCUCGUGGUUGUAUCACAGAUGUCGCGGAGAAUAUCUCUGCACAAACACAACCCGUCAUAUGUUAAAGUUCUUGAAUCAUAUCCAAAUCUUGGAGUAGCAGAGGAAACUUACUACGAACGUGACGUUCUUUGGGAGGAGACUCUACAUGAUUGGUUGCCUUUACGAUCGCGAUGUCUAGAUCCUAAUAAUGUAUAACGAUCAAGAAUCAAGAACAUGCAUAGAUCAUAACAUAUGUGAAGAUCAGGAGAAAGAGACCUUGAAUUCGCUGUUGACCUUAGCGAGACCAACGGUGGUGGAAUCCUUGAGGGCUCCAUAGGCUUUGCGUAAGCUCGUGAACGUUCCCAUGUCGAGUUACACUUUUGUCUGAAAAUCAAAAUCUGGAUCUUGAAAUGGUACGUGGUGUGAUAUGAUGAUGAGAAAGAGAGAAAAACAAGCAGACUUUCGUCUUCCUCGCCUUCAAAACGUGCGUAACAGAAUACUAAUGAUCUUGAUUCUUGAUCAUUUCCUUUUUUCAAUAAUUAAUAUAUUUUUUAGGACGUCAAUCAUGUCGUAGUCGCGAGAUCAUUACGGUGGUCUCUGAGAUGUUUAUUAUUAUUAUUUUGACGGUACUAUCUUAAGUAUCUUAAACAAUGUAAUUGUGUGUGUUAGUUUUUAUCAAAAAUAACGAAACUAGUUUGUUAAUUGGUUGAUCAAUUAUUUGAAGGGGACGUCAAAAAAGGAGUAAAACAAAUCGUGCUUAUAUAAGCGAACCGUGUCAAUUAUAUCAACGGCAGAGUUUUUUUUUUGUUAACUAGGAGGGCUUUGGACUCUAGUCUCUCCCAUGGCAUGGAGUCAGCCUUUUCUGAUACCAUUUAUAGUGUAAAGCAUUCCUCCUACCAGAUUUUGAACAAAAAGCACGAUAGUAUCAACGCUUGCGCUUAACUGGCUUUACCACGUCCGGUGGUAUCAACGGCAAAGUUUGGAAAGGUUCUUAGAAAUAUCAUGACUAGUGAUUGAACAUGUGGUAAUGUUAGAUUCUGAAGUUGUAACGAGUUGAUGAAUUCUUGAAAGCCAUCUUUACAAAACGAAUCAGAAUAAUAUAUUUUUCAAGGUCAACUAAUAAAUCUGUAACAUGUUGCUUUUGCUGCAACCGGUGCAACAAUGGUUGGGGUAACACCAGUGUUGCAUCUGGAAAUGUCUUGAAUCUUUGUACACUAGUAAAAGUCCAGCAUUCAUAGGAUCGGAUGGUACAUAUUAUAGGAUUAGAAAAUUUUAUUUUUUUCUCGAUAAUUAUUUAUUCUUAAAAGAAUAAGAAAAACGGGUUUUGAGGUUAUUAUAAAUAUGGGUAUAACGAGUUAUACAAUUAUUCAUUCACAUAAUAAUAUACAAACUCUCAAAGAGUAUUUGUCUUAAUACGUUUUGCUUUUUGCUUUCUUCGAGUUUGAUUUGCGUUCAAGCCCCAGUUUUGUUAGGGAACCAUGUGAAAAAAGGAGACAUGUAAGAAGCAGUUUUGUCUUUUCUCAAGAACAACACUUCAAGAAAAUAUCUUCUAACCUCACUCGAUCUUAACUUUCAGCUUGGUUAUUUUCAUUUGGUGGAAGCACCGUUAUAUGCGUCUUCGAAAAGGACUCCAUCCGUAUCGAUGAAGAUCUCUUAGCUAACAGUGGUAGGUCCUUAGAGACACUAGUUAGUGUUGGUAUGCAACUAGGUGUCUGGACACGUACAUUGGCUGGUUAUACAUAAAAUAAUUGGCCCACAUAGCAUUUGGUUUUAUUUGAUUAGAUUUGAUUUCCCUCUUGUUUCGUGCAUAAAUAAGUUUGUAUACAACCAACAAUUUACCGUUGGUAUAUAUAUUUAUACAAUGACUUGAGUUCAACACUAUCCUUAUGCAAAAACAAGAAAACAACUUUUAUUCGUUUUGAUCCCUCACUUUCUCUGAAUUAAAAUCUUCUUCAUAAUCCUUAUUUAAGGAAGGAAAAAAGCCUAUACUAUAAAUCAAGGAACAAAAAUGAGGGUGACAAAAUUUAUAAAAAACUAAGAA
This is a long non-coding RNA of Brassica rapa (field mustard), 2191 nucleotides long. RefSeq lists it as uncharacterized. The record is from RefSeq and is a predicted model, not a curated record. NCBI's taxonomy places the organism in Eukaryota, Viridiplantae, Streptophyta, Magnoliopsida, Brassicales, Brassicaceae.